CAGAAUCUACCGUAGGUAUAGGUUGUUUAUACCCCAUAAGUAUGUUAACCAUGUCACUGAAAAUAUUUAAAAAAAAAUAGAAAUUGCAGAAAAAAAUAAAAUAAAAAUAGAAAAUAUUAAUGGCUCGAAUCAAUAAAUUAUUUUCAUAAACCGCCUAAACCUAAAUUUUUUCGCAAACCUCAAUUGUGCUUCAUCUUCUAUUUAUCAACCACCCAAAC
RNAcentral lists this long non-coding RNA (218 nucleotides) under Lathyrus oleraceus (garden pea). RNAcentral's name for it is "Pisum sativum (pea) long non-coding RNA (PSAT_LNC040345)". Lineage: Eukaryota; Viridiplantae; Streptophyta; Magnoliopsida; Fabales; Fabaceae. The record is from RNAcentral.